RNAcentral lists this ribosomal RNA (277 nucleotides) under uncultured bacterium. Its description in RNAcentral is "partial 16S ribosomal RNA". It matches the Rfam family "Bacterial small subunit ribosomal RNA", at positions 28 to 315 of the family's 1533-position model. The record is from RNAcentral.
GAUAAACGCUGGCGGCGUGCCUAACACAUGCAAGUCGAACGCUCUCUCGCGCAAGUGAGAGGGAGUGGCGGACGGGUGAGUAACACAUGGGAAUCGACCCACACGUGAGGAAUACCACCGAGAAAUCGGUGACAAUACCGCAUACGCUUCGCAAGAAGCAAAGCUUCCGUAAGGGGGCGCGCGUGGACGAGCCUGUGUCUGAUUAGUUGGUUGGUGGGGUAAAAGCCUACCAAGACUGCGAUCAGUCGCUGGUCUGAGAGGAUGAUCAGCCACACUG